AAUCAACGCUGGCGGCGUGCCUAACACAUGCAAGUCGAACGCGAAGAUCCCGCAAGGGAUUUGUAGCGUGGCAAACGGGUGAGUAACGCGUGGGUGACCUGCCUUCGAGUGGGGGAUAACGUCCCGAAAGGGACGCUAAUACCGCAUAACAUCCCGCCUUUUAAGAGGUGGACAUCAAAGCCUGGGACCGCAAGGCCAGGCGCUUGAAGAGGGGCCCGCGUCUGAUUAGCUAGUUGGUGGGGUAAUGGCUCACCAAGGCAACGAUCAGUAUCCGGCCUGAGAGGGCGGACGGACACACUGGGACUGAGACACGGCCCAGACUCCUACGGGAGGCAGCAGUGGGGAAUUGUUCGCAAUGGGCGCAAGCCUGACGACGCAACGCCGCGUGGAGGAUGAAGAUCUUCGGGUCGUAAACUCCUUUCGAUCGAGACGAACGGCCUCUGGGUGAACAAUCCAGGGGAGUGACGGUACCGAGAGAAGAAGCCCCG
RNAcentral lists this ribosomal RNA (488 nucleotides) under uncultured bacterium. Its description in RNAcentral is "bacterial SSU rRNA". It matches the Rfam family "Bacterial small subunit ribosomal RNA", at positions 32 to 495 of the family's 1533-position model. The record is from RNAcentral.